GGGGUUGUGGCUCAGUGGUAGAGCAUUUGCCUAGCAUGUAUGAGGCCCCGGGUUCAAUUCUCAGCACCA
RNAcentral lists this transfer RNA (69 nucleotides) under Marmota marmota marmota (Alpine marmot). It matches the Rfam family "tRNA". From Rfam's summary of the family: Transfer RNA (tRNA) molecules are approximately 80 nucleotides in length. Their secondary structure includes four short double-helical elements and three loops (D, anti-codon, and T loops). Lineage: Eukaryota; Metazoa; Chordata; Mammalia; Rodentia; Sciuridae. RNAcentral also lists the same sequence under 4 other names. The record is from Rfam by way of RNAcentral.